AGACCCCAAAGCACAACUUGAAGGGAAAAGGUACGGCAGGAACCGUCCAAUGCGUUACCUGCAAAGACAGCAGCCGGCUUUGGUGUAGGCUUAUGUGUAGCACGGUUGAUGAUGAAGCGCCGGCCGUGUAAAUGAAGAUCGGGUGAGCAGCAGGACGAUGCCCAAGGGUGGGUGCCCUAAAGCACCACAGCAGGAAGAGCUUCCCCUCAGCAGCGACAUGGUGGAGAAGCAGACUGGGAAAAAGGAUAAAGAUAAAGUUUCUCUAACCAAGACCCCAAAACUGGAGCGUGGCGAUGGCGGGAAGGAGGUGAGGGAGCGAGCCAGCAAGCGGAAGCUGCCCUUCACUGCGGGCGCCAAUGGGGAGCAGAAGGACUCGGACACAGGACCGCCGGGGUCCUGCUUGUCCCGGGGCAGCCACGAGGGAGCCCUCGUCAGGAGCGCCAUGGGCCGAAGCUGCCUGCCCUCUGCACGUGGAUGUUUCUUUGGAACAAGGGGAAAAAUGAUGAUUUUCUUACUUUGCUUUGACCUGUGAAUGACACCCUGGUGUCUGGUGCCUGGGGUGUGCUCUCUGCAGUGCUGC
RNAcentral lists this small RNA (580 nucleotides) under Pan troglodytes (chimpanzee). Its description in RNAcentral is "processed transcript". The record is from RNAcentral. Lineage: Eukaryota; Metazoa; Chordata; Mammalia; Primates; Hominidae.